This 501-nucleotide ribosomal RNA is filed under the name uncultured bacterium. Its description in RNAcentral is "partial 16S ribosomal RNA". It matches the Rfam family "Bacterial small subunit ribosomal RNA", at positions 29 to 523 of the family's 1533-position model. The record is from RNAcentral.
AUUGAACGCUGGCGGCAUGCCUUACACAUGCAAGUCGAACGGCAGCACGGGUGCUUGCACCCGGUGGCGAGUGGCGAACGGGUGAGUAAUACAUCGGAACGUACCUUAUCGUGGGGGAUAACGCAGCGAAAGCUGUGCUAAUACCGCAUACGCCCUGAGGGGGAAAGCGGGGGAUCGCAAGACCUCGCGCGAUUAGAGCGGCCGAUGCCUGAUUAGCUUGUUGGUGGGGUAAAAGCCCACCAAGGCGACGAUCAGUAGCUGGUCUGAGAGGACGAUCAGCCACACUGGGACUGAGACACGGCCCAGACUCCUACGGGAGGCAGCAGUGGGGAAUUUUGGACAAUGGGGGCAACCCUGAUCCAGCAAUACCGCGUGAGUGAAGAAGGCCUUCGGGUUGUAAAGCUCUUUUGUCAGGGAAGAAACACCGGCUCUAACACAGUCCGGGAAUGACGGUACCUGAAGAAUAAGCACCGGCUAACUACGUGCCAGCCGCCGCGGUAA